AAGUUGGAAAAAUAUUUUAAUAGCUCAUCAUAAUCAUUUUUGGUAAUCUGCAACUUGGACAGCAUUUUCCGUUAAAAAUCAACAUUUACCUUCCAUCACAACAUGAAUUACAUAGUACAAUCAGCACUGGAAGACACAAAACAGCACUUUGUCUCUAAGAGAUCUGUCUGAAACCAGCUAACAACCACUGCCUUUUUCAUUGUGGCAAAUCUGAUGCAGUUUUCCUCUUUUGCACGACAAAAGUGGUCUAAAGCUGCUUGGACCUAGGGGAAAAGCAGGUGCGUGGAAUUGCAGGGACUCUAUCAAAAGCCAACUGUAACAAGGAUAAGGAAGACUGGUUCAGUUAUCCUCAUUUUCAAAGACAGCACAGUGACAGAGGGCAGGAAUAACCUUGGAAGCUCUUUUGUCCUUGCGAAGUGCAGGUUUGGAAGAUGUGAACCAAAAAAUGCACACAAUUAAAGACCACAUUUCCAGCUGACCUGAUUCACGUCCGCAAUUCAUGUGUACGCAAAUAACUAUUUGUGCAGCCAGUAUAUUUGAACUUCAAAAUUGUAGUUUAUGGCAGAAAAGGAGGGAGGAAUUAUAUAAUGAAAACAAAAUGCUAAAGAGAUGCAUGAAUUUUUGAACCAAUAUAAAAAAUGAGAACUGAAAAACAAGUCCAGUGUUGGAAGAUCUAGGUUGAGUAUUUCAGCCUUCAACACUUUCAUCCUGCUUUUAUUUUCACCUGUAAAACAUAUCAGAAAUUCUUCCUGAAUCACGAAGGUUUUGUUAAAUAAACACGGUAGCCC
Molecule: long non-coding RNA, 788 nt
Organism: Cygnus olor (mute swan)
Lineage: Eukaryota; Metazoa; Chordata; Aves; Anseriformes; Anatidae
Exons: 2
Source: RefSeq, a predicted model, not a curated record